CCUACGGGAGGCAGCAGUGGGGAAUAUUGGACAAUGGGGGGAACCCUGAUCCAGCCAUGCCGCGUGUGUGAAGAAGGCCCUCGGGUUGUAAAGCACUUUCAGUGAGGAAGAACGCCUGGUGGUUAAUACCCAUCAGGAAAGACAUCACUCACAGAAGAAGCACCGGCUAACUCCGUGCCAGCAGCCGCGGUAAUACGGAUGGUGCGAGCGUUAAUCGGAAUUACUGGGCGUAAAGCGCGCGUAGGUGGCUUGAUAAGCCGGUUGUGAAAGCCCCGGGCUCAACCUGGGAACGGCAUCCGGAACUGUCAAGCUAGAGUGCAGGAGAGGAAGGUAGAAUUCCCGGUGUAGCGGUGAAAUGCGUAGAGAUCGGGAGGAAUACCAGUGGCGAAGGCGGCCUUCUGGACUGACACUGACACUGAGGUGCGAAAGCGUGGGUAGCAAACAGGAUUAGAUACCCCUGUAGUC
This 465-nucleotide ribosomal RNA is filed under the name Vreelandella stevensii. Its description in RNAcentral is "partial 16S ribosomal RNA". It matches the Rfam family "Bacterial small subunit ribosomal RNA", at positions 338 to 795 of the family's 1533-position model. The record is from RNAcentral. Lineage: Bacteria; Pseudomonadati; Pseudomonadota; Gammaproteobacteria; Oceanospirillales; Halomonadaceae.